GGGGGCUUAGCUUAGUUGGUUAAAGCACGGUGCUCAUAACACUGGGAUCGGGGGUUCGAGUCCCUCAGCCCCUACCA
RNAcentral lists this transfer RNA (77 nucleotides) under bacterium. Its description in RNAcentral is "tRNA-Met". It matches the Rfam family "tRNA". From Rfam's summary of the family: Transfer RNA (tRNA) molecules are approximately 80 nucleotides in length. Their secondary structure includes four short double-helical elements and three loops (D, anti-codon, and T loops). The record is from RNAcentral. RNAcentral also lists the same sequence under 2 other names.